This 266-nucleotide ribosomal RNA is filed under the name uncultured archaeon. Its description in RNAcentral is "partial 16S ribosomal RNA". It matches the Rfam family "Archaeal small subunit ribosomal RNA", at positions 717 to 982 of the family's 1478-position model. The record is from RNAcentral.
AGUCACUGACAUUAGAUACCCGUGUAGUCCAGGGUGUAAACGCUGCAGACUUGGUGUUUGGAAGUCCUUUGGGGGGCAUUCAGUGCCGGAGAGAAGUUGUUAAGUCUGCUACUUGGGGAGUACGUCCGCAAGGAUGAAACUUAAAGGAAUUGCGGGGGAGCACCGCAACGGGAGGAGCGUGCGGUUUAAUUGGAUUCAACACCGUAAAACUCACCAGGGAAGACUGUUACAUGAAAGCCGAGAUGAAGACUCUGCUAGAUUUUCAG